CCAGACUCCUACGGGAGGCAGCAGUGGGGGAUAUUGCACAAUGGGGGGAACCCUGAUGCAGCGACGCCGCGUGAGUGAAGAAGUAAUUCGUUAUGUAAAGCUCUAUCAGCAGGGAAGAAUAAAUGACGGUACCUGAGUAAGAAGCCCCGGCUAACUACGUGCCAGCAGCCGCGGUAAUACGUAUGGAGCAAGCGUUAUCCGGAUUUACUGGGUGUAAAGGGAGCGCAGACGGCAGGGCAAGUCUGAUGUGAAAGGCCGGGGCUCAACCCCGGGACUGCAUUGGAAACUGUCCGGCUAGAGUGCAGGAGAGGUAAGUUGAAUUCCUAGUGUAGCGGUGAAAUGCGUAGAUAUUAGGAGGAACACCAGUGGCGAAGGCGGCUUACUGGACUGUAACUGACGUUGAGGCUCGAAAGCGUGGGGAGCAAACAGGAUUAGAUACCCCGGUAA
RNAcentral lists this ribosomal RNA (447 nucleotides) under uncultured bacterium. RNAcentral describes it as "bacterial SSU rRNA". It matches the Rfam family "Bacterial small subunit ribosomal RNA", at positions 331 to 793 of the family's 1533-position model. The record is from RNAcentral.